ACAUGCCUACAUCAUAACGUUAAUGCACUGGAUCCCAUUAAAACUCUGCAGUUAAGCACGCUCAGGAUAAAGUAGUACUGGGAUGGGUUACCGCCCAAUAAGUCCUAGUGUUUUACAUGCC
Non-coding RNA from Picea glauca (white spruce), 121 nucleotides. NCBI's taxonomy places the organism in Eukaryota, Viridiplantae, Streptophyta, Pinopsida, Pinales, Pinaceae. The record is from Rfam.